UACGUAGGGGGCUAGCGUUGUCCGGAAUCAUUGGGCGUAAAGCGCGUGUAGGCGGCCCGGUAAGUCCGCUGUGAAAGUCCAGGGCUCAACCCUGGGAUGCCGGUCGAUACUGCCGGACUAGAGUUCGGAAGAGGCGAGUGGAAUUCCCGGUGUAGCGGUGAAAUGCGCAGAUAUCGGGAGGAACACCUAUGGCGAAGGCAGCUCGCUGGGACGUUACUGACGCUGAGACGCGAAAGCGUGGGGAGCAAACAGG
RNAcentral lists this ribosomal RNA (253 nucleotides) under uncultured bacterium. Its description in RNAcentral is "partial 16S ribosomal RNA". It matches the Rfam family "Bacterial small subunit ribosomal RNA", at positions 524 to 776 of the family's 1533-position model. The record is from RNAcentral.